Molecule: ribosomal RNA, 497 nt
Filed under: uncultured bacterium
Lineage: Bacteria
Description: partial 16S ribosomal RNA
Rfam family: Bacterial small subunit ribosomal RNA
Source: RNAcentral
GACGAACGCUGGCGGCGUGCCUAAUACAUGCAAGUAGAACGCUGAAGAGAGGAGCUUGCUCUUCUUGGAUGAGUUGCGAACGGGUGAGUAACGCGUAGGUAACCUGCCUUGUAGCGGGGGAUAGCUAUUGGAAACGAUAGCUAAUACCGCAUAACAAUGGAUGACACAUGUCAUUUAUUUGAAAGGGGCAAUUGCUCCACUACAAGAUGGACCUGCGUUGUAUUAGCUAGUAGGUGAGGUAAUGGCUCACCUAGGCGACGAUACAUAGCCGACCUGAGAGGGUGAUCGGCCACACUGGGACUGAGACACGGCCCAGACUCCUACGGGAGGCAGCAGUAGGGAAUCUUCGGCAAUGGGGGCAACCCUGACCGAGCAACGCCGCGUGAGUGAAGAAGGUUUUCGGAUCGUAAAGCUCUGUUGUAAGUCAAGAACGGGUGUGAGAGUGGAAAGUUCACACUGUGACGGUAGCUUACCAGAAAGGGACGGCUAACUACGUG